ACAAACACUAGGUCUCCAACAAAG
Molecule: non-coding RNA, 24 nt
Filed under: Arabidopsis thaliana (thale cress)
Lineage: Eukaryota; Viridiplantae; Streptophyta; Magnoliopsida; Brassicales; Brassicaceae
Source: RNAcentral